This 264-nucleotide ribosomal RNA is filed under the name uncultured bacterium. RNAcentral describes it as "partial 16S ribosomal RNA". It matches the Rfam family "Bacterial small subunit ribosomal RNA", at positions 793 to 1055 of the family's 1533-position model. The record is from RNAcentral.
GUCCUAGCUGUAAACGGUGCACGUUUGCUGUGAGAGGUGUCGAAUCCUUUCGUGGCGAAGCUAACGCGUUAAACGUGCCGCCUGGGAAGUACGGUCGCAAGAUUAAACUCAAAGAAUUGACGGGGCCGUGCACAAGCGGUGGAGUAUGUGGCUUAAUUCGAUGCAACGCGAAGAACCUUACCUGGCCUUGACAUGUAUGUAGUAGAAGGGUGAAGCCUGACGAGGUAGCAAUACCAGCAUACACAGGUGCUGCAUGGCUGUCGU